RNAcentral lists this ribosomal RNA (492 nucleotides) under uncultured bacterium. RNAcentral describes it as "partial 16S ribosomal RNA". It matches the Rfam family "Bacterial small subunit ribosomal RNA", at positions 29 to 507 of the family's 1533-position model. The record is from RNAcentral.
AGUGAACGCUGGCGGUAGGCCUAACACAUGCAAGUCGAACGGCAGCACAGUAAGAGCUUGCUCUUACGGGUGGCGAGUGGCGGACGGGUGAGGAAUACAUCGGAAUCUACUUUUUCGUGGGGGAUAACGUAGGGAAACUUACGCUAAUACCGCAUACGACCUACGGGUGAAAGCAGGGGAUCUUCGGACCUUGCGCGAGUGAAUGAGCCGAUGUCGGAUUAGCUAGUUGGCGGGGUAAAGGCCCACCAAGGCGACGAUCCGUAGCUGGUCUGAGAGGAUGGUCGGCCACACUGGAGCUGGGACACGGUCCUGGCUCCUGCGGUAGGCCGCAGUGGGGAAUAUUGGGCAAUGGGCGCAAGCCUGAUCCAGCCAUACCGCGUCUGUGACGACGGCCUUCGGUUUGUAAAGACCUUUUGUUGGGAAAGAACAGCAGCAGGUUGUUACCACGCUGUUGUGACGGUACCGAGUAAAUAAGCACCGGCUAACUUCGUG